Molecule: ribosomal RNA, 496 nt
Filed under: uncultured bacterium
Lineage: Bacteria
Description: partial 16S ribosomal RNA
Rfam family: Bacterial small subunit ribosomal RNA
Source: RNAcentral
AUGAACGCUGGCGGCGUGCCUAAUACAUGCAGGUCGAGCGAACAGACGAGGAGCUUGCUCCUCUGACGUUAGCGGCGGACGGGUGAGUAACACGUGGAUAACCUACCUAUAAGACUGGGAUAACUUCGGGAAACCGGAGCUAAUACCGGAUAAUAUAUUGAACCGCAUGGUUCCAUAGUGAAAGACGGUUUUGCUGUCACUUAUAGAUGGAUCCGCGCCGCAUUAGCUAGUUGGUAAGGUAACGGCUUACCAAGGCAACGAUGCGUAGCCGACCUGAGAGGGUGAUCGGCCACACUGGAACUGAGACACGGUCCAGACUCCUACGGGAGGCAGCAGUAGGGAAUCUUCCGCAAUGGGCGAAAGCCUGACGGAGCAACGCCGCGUGAGUGAUGAAGGUCUUCGGAUCGUAAAACUCUGUUAUUAGGGAAGAACAAAUGUGUAAGUAACUAUGCACGUCUUGACGGUACCUAAUCAGAAAGCCACGGCUAACUACGUG